Molecule: long non-coding RNA, 1821 nt
Organism: Saccostrea cuccullata (small rock oyster)
Lineage: Eukaryota; Metazoa; Mollusca; Bivalvia; Ostreida; Ostreidae
Exons: 3
Source: RefSeq, a predicted model, not a curated record
AUGAACUUACGAUGUUAGCCGGGCUCUCCAUUUGUAUCUUAAAAUUGUUCAAAUGUAAUGAAUAUUGCUUCAAUUGAUGAUUAAUGAUUUUAUUUUAGUGUUAAUAAAUGCUGAGAAAGACAAUCAAAAUUAAAACCUUCGUGAGAGUUUAAAAUAUUCACCAAAAUUGAUAAAGAAAGAUAAUAAAUGUGUGUUGAAGAGUUAUCUCCCGUAGUAGAACUCUCCAUACAAAAAAGGGGGAAAAUGAUAUUGCAACAUUGCAGGGGCAGAAGAACAAUGUGAUUUCAGCAAUUUUUCAAACAUUUCAAGCAGUGAUGGCCCAAUAAAUUCAUUUAGAAGAAUACACUAAGGAUCUGUCAAACCAUUUGCGUUUACUCAAAUCUCCGAACAUACCCUAGCUGGAUUGUAUGGAAAAUUUAUGAUGUGCCAGAGGCGAUCGGUUUGCUGCAUUCUGUAGGCCUAUAGAAAUGGUUUUUUUUUUCCAUUGACACUACUAGCACAUUAAAAUUAUAAGUAUGCCAAAGACAAUCAAGGAUUAAAAUGGCAAAGAACUAAGUCAAAGUGCUUCCGUCCCGAUCAAAAGGAAGAAAGCAAAAGCAGACCGAUGGGCUACCCCUACCUUUUGUAAAGAAUACUGGUUGAAAAUGAGGGAGACAAUAUACCAGUUGGAUCAGCAACAGUUGUCCAUGUGCUGCAGUAUUUAUUGGAUCCAACCAAAUCAGAAGAGAAAACCCAGAAGCAAAUUCAUAUGGUAAUACAGGGUUUUCUAAGAGAGGAGGAUCACAGGAGUGGAACUGUUUCAUUUACCCAACACCUUGAACUGACUGAUCAAGGGAAAUAUGAAGCAGUUUACAGAUGAAAGUUCUGCUGGAAGCACAGAGAUUAAUACUGAACAAUACAUGUAUUACCUCUGUCCGGACUCAUCAUAACAGAAAGUAUUUUCAAAAUGUUGCAAUCACGAAAAAUUUCUUGGAGUUGGAAAUCAGUCUUACAGAAAUUGAAGAUCAAGUAGGAACACUGCAGCAAAUUUAUAUGCUACAAAAUGUGAAAGCAUUAGAGAGUCUCAAAAUUUAUUGAUACAAACAUUCAAAUCAGGUAGAGUUGAUGAUGAAGUCCAGAGAGAGCCAACAGGAGAAAGCAUGGGUUUGGCACUGGAGAGCAGAAGAAAGCAAUACAAUUCUCCAAGAAAGAAAAGAACUCCUUGUGCAUGAUAUGCGAAGAAUGUGACAGAACAGGAAAAUGCCCCAAUAGUGUCUAAUUGGCAGAUGAGCUAAGAAAGUAAAUGAUAAAAAUGGUGAAAGACUUUUUAAGAAAGACAAAUGGCUAAAUAUUUCACAAGUAAGAGGAUGUAUUGCCUCAUAUAUUAGUCAAUAAAAUCUAAGAGUUUCUCUGUACCUCCCUCUGUAAAAAAUCAAUUGUUGUCUGAAAGGUGUUUUGAAGAUGUUUGUAUUGAUGAAGAUGAAAAACUUGCAGAGAUUGUUUCUGCUUUUGGCUCAAAUGAAUAUGAAGAUCAAAUGACUUGUAUGGUUUACAUCUGUAAAUAUUCAGUAAAAUUAUAACCUGUAUAAUCACAUAUUUUGAAAGAGAGGAAUCGAGGAUUCAGAAAAAAAAAUAUUGAUAUGUGCAAAUUUUGAUUUUAUUUUGCAGUUGUUGAAGUGUUGAGUAGUAAUUAAGCAUAAACAUUUUAUAUUUCAUGAUAGUCAUAAAUUUGUGGGUCUCUCCAUGCCCCAAAUACAUUGAAAAUUAACCCCCCCUCCCCACACACACACACAAAUUAGAACCUUGGAAAUUAAAGGUUCCAAUAUACUGAACCAUGGAAUU